UUAUAUUCAAUUAUGAUAUAAAAUUGCAAAUUUUGAGGUGUAAAAAAUUACUAAGGCUU
RNAcentral lists this transfer RNA (59 nucleotides) under Hypolimnas usambara (red spot diadem). RNAcentral's name for it is "tRNA-Cys". Lineage: Eukaryota; Metazoa; Arthropoda; Insecta; Lepidoptera; Nymphalidae. The record is from RNAcentral.